Long non-coding RNA from Olea europaea var. sylvestris, 643 nucleotides. RefSeq lists it as uncharacterized. The record is from RefSeq and is a predicted model, not a curated record. NCBI's taxonomy places the organism in Eukaryota, Viridiplantae, Streptophyta, Magnoliopsida, Lamiales, Oleaceae. The transcript is spliced from 3 exons.
AUAGAUUUUCUGAUGUCCUAGCGUGCUCAACUGGGUGUGGAAGCUUUUGCUGAUGCUCUCCUCGUGGUUCCAAAGACACUUGCUGAAAACUCUGGCCUGGACACACAAGAUGUGAUUAUUGCGCUUACGGGAGAACACAACAAGGGAAAUGUAGUAGGACUUAGCCAACACACCGGAGAACCUAUUGACCCCAAAAUGGAAGGGAUCUUUGACAAUUACUCUGUAAAGCGUCAAAUCAUUAACUCCGGCCCUGUAAUUGCUUCGCAGCUGCUAUUAGUGGAUGAAGUUAUCCGUGCUGGGCGUAACAUGCGGAAGCCAAAUUAACUCAAAACUCUCGUUUUUACUUGCGCUCGAUGAAUGUUUUCCUCCCUGGUGAUGAUUGGGUGAAGGGUUGUCGGUGUUAAAUUUAUUUGCCCAAAGAUUCAGUGUAAAGAUAUAUUUAUUAGGCAUUGUGCCAGAAAAUUUAUCUCCGCUGAACUGCACUUGAUGUUUAUCAACCACUUCAGUUUUUUACGUAGUGUGUAGUGGCGUUGCUGUUUAACCUCUGUUUUACUUGGGAACUCUUUGUUCUCCUAGGCUGUCUUCACCUACUUGUCGCAAGAAUGUUAAGAAACUUGAUUUUAAUUUAGCCCAACCUUCUAUU